UACGAAGGGGGCUAGCGUUGUUCGGAAUUACUGGGCGUAAAGCGUGCGCAGGCGGCUUCUCAAGUCAGGGGUGAAAGCCCAGAGCUCAACUCUGGAAUUGCCUUUGAGACUGAGUGGCCUGAGUACGAGAGAGGUGAGUGGAAUUCCCAGUGUAGAGGUGAAAUUCGUAGAUAUUGGGAAGAACACCGGUGGCGAAGGCGGCUCACUGGCUCGUAACUGACGCUCAUGCACGACAGCGUGGGGAUCAAACAGG
Molecule: ribosomal RNA, 253 nt
Filed under: uncultured bacterium
Lineage: Bacteria
Description: partial 16S ribosomal RNA
Rfam family: Bacterial small subunit ribosomal RNA
Source: RNAcentral